CCUACGGGGUGCAGCAGUGGGGAAUAUUGGGCAAUGGGCGCAAGCCUGACCCAGCAACGCCGCGUGAAGGAAGAAGGCUCUCGGGUUGUAAACUUCUUUUCUCAGGGACGAAACAAGUGACGGUACCUGACGAAUAAGCCACGGCUAACUACGUGCCAGCAGCCGCGGUAAUACGUAGGUGGCAAGCGUUAUCCGGAUUUACUGGGUGUAAAGGGCGUGUAGGCGGGAGAGCAAGUCAGACGUGAAAACCACGGGCUCAACCUGUGGCCUGCAUUUGAAACUGUAGUUCUUGAGUGCUGGAGAGGCAGACGGAAUUCCUAGUGUAGCGGUGAAAUGCGUAGAUAUAAGGAGGAACACCAGUGGCGAAGGCGGUCUGCUGGACAGCAACUGACGCUGAGGCGCGAAAGCGUGGGGAGCAAACAGGAUUAGAUACCCCGGUAGUC
This 443-nucleotide ribosomal RNA is filed under the name uncultured bacterium. RNAcentral describes it as "partial 16S ribosomal RNA". It matches the Rfam family "Bacterial small subunit ribosomal RNA", at positions 338 to 795 of the family's 1533-position model. The record is from RNAcentral.